UGCUUGGAAGCAGCAAUUCAUUUAAAGAGUGCGUAACAGCUCACUAGUCGAGUGACCGAGCGCGGAAAAUAAUCGGGCAUCAAACAUAGUGCCGAAGCUAUAGGAUUCAUCCUCGGAUGAAUCGGUAGGGGAGCAUUCUGACCUGCGCCGAAGGCGAUUCGUAAGGAUCUCUGGAGCGGUCAGAAAAGAAAAUGUAGGCAUAAGUAACGAUAAAUAAAGUGAAAAACUUUAUCGCCGUAAGUCUAAGGUUUCCUGAUCAACGCUAAUCGGAUCAGGGUUAGUCGGGUCCUAAGGUGUAACCCGAGAGGGGCAACCGAUGGAAAGCUGGUUAAUAUUCCAGCACCUGCUUAUACUGCGAUGGGGUGACGAAGGUGUGAAAGUACCGCGUGGUUACGGAAUAUCACGUUAAAGGGUGUAGAUGUUGAGAGGGUAGGCAAAUCCGCCCUUGAAUCGAACCGGAUAGUACCGCAAGUCUUCGGACAAGUGGAUAGUGUACCUAAUCAAACUUCCAAGAAAAACCUCUAAGCUUCAGGUAUAAGCAGCCCGUACCGUAAACCGACACAGGUAGACGAGGAGAGUAUCCUCAGGCGCUCGAGUGAGUCACGGCUAAGGAACUCGGCAAAAUGGACCCGUAACUUCGGGAGAAGGGUCGCCCCAGCAAUGGGGCCGCAGUGAAAAGAAUCAGGCGACUGUUUAACAAAAACACAGGGCUCUGCUAAAUCGAAAGAUGAUGUAUAGGGCCUGACACCUGCCCGGUGCUGGAAGGUUAAGGAAGGUUGUUAGCCGCAAGGCAAAGCUUCCGACUGAAGCCCCAGUAAACGGCGGCCGUAACUAUAACGGUCCUAAGGUAGCGAAAUUCCUUGUCGGGUAAGUUCCGACCUGCACGAAUGGUGUAACGAUCUGAUAACUGUCUCAGCCGUGAGCUCGGUGAAAUUGUAGUCCCGGUGAAGAUGCCGGGUACCCGUAACGGGACGGAAAGACCCCGUGAACCUUCACUACAACUUUGCAUUGACUUUGAGUAAACGAUGUGUAGGAUAGGUGGGAGACUUUGAAGCGGGCACGCUAGUGUUCGUGGAGUCAACGUUGAAAUACCACCCUUUGUUUACUUAGAGCCUAACUCCGCAAUCGGAGGAAAGUGCAUGGUGGGUAGUUUGACUGGGGUGGUCGCCUCCAAAAGAGUAACGGAGGCUUCCAAAGGUACCCUCAGCACGCUUGGUAACCGUGCGCAGAGUGUAUUAGCAUAAGGGUGCUUGACUGUGAGACCGACGGGUCGAGCAGGUACGAAAGUAGGAUAAAGUGAUCCGGUGGUUCUGCAUGGAAGGGCCAUCGCUCAAAGGAUAAAAGGUACUC
This 1350-nucleotide ribosomal RNA is filed under the name activated sludge metagenome. RNAcentral describes it as "bacterial LSU rRNA". It matches the Rfam family "Bacterial large subunit ribosomal RNA", at positions 1103 to 2468 of the family's 2925-position model. The record is from RNAcentral.